Molecule: long non-coding RNA, 220 nt
Organism: Xiphias gladius (swordfish)
Lineage: Eukaryota; Metazoa; Chordata; Actinopteri; Istiophoriformes; Xiphiidae
Exons: 3
Source: RefSeq, a predicted model, not a curated record
GGCAGCUCUCGGUUAACCUGCAGUAUCCGUUGUAACGCCUGCAUGGCUAACUGCUGUUAGCGCCAUUUUCUUAGCCUGACAUUAAUAGGGUCAAUGAUCGACGGCGCCUUGCUGCCACCCACAGGACAUGGGAGGAACAAGCCAGCAAACAGAUGGACAGAUCUAACCUCGAGCAGCUGCAGUUUCUCUGAGCACCACUAGAGAGGGGAAGAGACAACCG